RNAcentral lists this ribosomal RNA (1819 nucleotides) under Grimontia hollisae CIP 101886. Its description in RNAcentral is "Bacterial large subunit ribosomal RNA". It matches the Rfam family "Bacterial large subunit ribosomal RNA", at positions 1 to 1861 of the family's 2925-position model. Lineage: Bacteria; Pseudomonadati; Pseudomonadota; Gammaproteobacteria; Vibrionales; Vibrionaceae. The record is from Rfam by way of RNAcentral.
GGUUAAGUGACUAAGCGUACACGGUGGAUGCCUGGGCAGUCAGAGGCGAAGAAGGACGUAGUAACUUGCGAUAAGCCCAGAUAAGGCAGUAACAGCCACUUGAGUCUGGGAUUUCCGAAUGGGGAAACCCACUGGCAUAAGCCAGUAUCAUUAACUGAAUCCAUAGGUUAAUGAGGCGAACUCGGGGAACUGAAACAUCUAAGUACCCGAAGGAAAAGAAAUCAAUUGAGAUUCCGGCAGUAGCGGCGAGCGACCCCGGACCAGCCCUUAAGCUGAUUGUGAGUUAGUGGAAGCCACUGGAAAGUGGCGCGAUACAGGGUGAUAGCCCCGUACACGACAACGCACAGUGAGUGAAAACGAGUAAGACGGGACACGUGUUAUCUUGUCUGAAGAUGGGGGGACCAUCCUCCAAGGCUAAAUACUCCUGACUGACCGAUAGUGAACCAGUACCGUGAGGGAAAGGCGAAAAGAACCCCUGUGAGGGGAGUGAAAUAGAACCUGAAACCGUGUACGUACAAGCAGUGGGAGCCUCCUUGUGGGGUGACUGCGUACCUUUUGUAUAAUGGGUCAGCGACUUACGUUAUGUAGCAAGGUUAACCGUAUAGGGGAGCCGUAGGGAAACCGAGUCUUAACUGGGCGUUCAGUUGCAUGACGUAGACCCGAAACCGGGUGAUCUAGCCAUGGGCAGGUUGAAGAUUGAGUAACAUCAAUUGGAGGACCGAACCGACUAAUGUUGAAAAAUUAGCGGAUGACUUGUGGCUAGGGGUGAAAGGCCAAUCAAACCCGGAGAUAGCUGGUUCUCCCCGAAAGCUAUUUAGGUAGCGCCUCGGACGAAUACUACUGGGGGUAGAGCACUGUUAAGGCUAGGGGGUCAUCCCGACUUACCAACCCUUUGCAAACUCCGAAUACCAGUAAGUAGUAUCCGGGAGACACACGGCGGGUGCUAACGUCCGUCGUGGAGAGGGAAACAACCCAGACCGCCAGCUAAGGUCCCCAAGUUAUCGCUAAGUGGGAAACGAUGUGGGAAGGCUCAGACAGCCAGGAUGUUGGCUUAGAAGCAGCCAUCAUUUAAAGAAAGCGUAAUAGCUCACUGGUCGAGUCGGCCUGCGCGGAAGAUGUAACGGGGCUAAGCGAUACACCGAAGCUGCGGCAGUGUGAUUUAUCACAUUGGGUAGGGGAGCGUUCUGUAAGCCGUAGAAGGUGGUCUGUAAGGGCUGCUGGAGGUAUCAGAAGUGCGAAUGCUGACAUGAGUAACGAUAAAGGGGGUGAAAAACCUCCUCGCCGGAAGACCAAGGGUUCCUGUCCAACGUUAAUCGGGGCAGGGUAAGUCGGCCCCUAAGGCGAGGCCGAAAGGCGUAGUCGAUGGGAAACGGGUUAAUAUUCCCGUACUGCUGAUAACUGCGAUGGGGGGACGGAGAAGGCUAGGUGGGCCAGGCGACGGUUGUCCUGGUUCAAGUGCGUAGGUAGGUGAGUUAGGCAAAUCCGGCUCGCUAUAUACUGAGACACGAUGUCGAGACACCACGGUGUUGAAGUCAUUGAUGCCCUGCUUCCGGGAAAAGCCUCUAAGCUUCAGGUUAUCAGUAACCGUACCCCAAACCGACACAGGUGGUCGGGUAGAGAAUACCAAGGCGCUUGAGAGAACUCGGGUGAAGGAACUAGGCAAAAUGGUACCGUAACUUCGGGAGAAGGUACGCUGCCCGCGGUGAAGUCCCUGGCGGAUGGAGCUAUGGGCAGUCGCAGAUACCAGGUGGCUGCAACUGUUUAUUAAAAACAUAGCACUGUGCAAACUCGAAAGAGGACGUAUACGGUGUGACGCCUG